AGAGUUUGAUCCUGGCUCAGGACGAACGCUGGCGGCAUGCCUAACACAUGCAAGUCGAACGAGAAAGUUCCUUCGGGAGCAAUUAAAGUGGCGCACGGGUGAGUAACGCGUAGACAAUCUGUCCUUCAGUCUGGGACAACUUUUCGAAAGGAGAGCUAAUACCGGAUAACAAUGCAUGACACAAGUUGUAUAUUUGAAAGCUUUAUGUGCUGAAGGAGGGGUCUGCGUCCCAUUAGCUAGUUGGUAAGGUAAAGGCUUACCAAGGCAACGAUGGGUAGCGGGUUUGAGAGGACGAUCCGCCACACUGGAACUGAGACACGGUCCAGACUCCUACGGGAGGCAGCAGUGGGGAAUAUUGCACAAUGGAGGCAACUCUGAUGCAGCAAUGUCGCGUGAGUGAAGAAGGCCCUUGGGUCGUAAAGCUCUUUUAUGGGGGAAGAUGAUGACGGUACCCCAAGAAUAAGCACCGGCUAACUUCGUGCCAGCAGCCGCGGUAAUACGAGGGGUGCUAGCGUUGUCCGGAUUUACUGGGCGUAAAGCGUGCGUAGGCGGAGAGAUAAGUUUGGCGUGAAAUCCCCGGGCCCAACCCGGAAAAUGCGCUAAAAACUAUUUCCCUAGAGGAUUGGAGGGGAGACUGGAAUUCCUGGUGUAGCAGUGAAAUGCGUAGAUAUCAGGAGGAACACCGGUGGCGAAGGCGAGUCUCUGGACAAUUCCUGACGCUGAGGUACGAAGGCCAGGGUAGCGAAAAGGAUUAGAUACCCUUGUAGUCCUGGCAGUAAACGGUGUGCACUUGCUGUAGGAGGAUUCGACCCCUUCUGUGGCGAAGCUAACGCGUUAAGUGCACCGCCUGGGGAGUACGGCCGCAAGGUUAAAACUCAAAGAAAUUGACGGGGGCCUGCACAAGCGGUGGAGCAUGUGGCUUAAUUCGAUGCAACGCGAAGAACCUUACCUGGGCUUGACAUGUAUGUCGUAGUCUUUCGAAAGUUAGACGUCAGUUCGGCUGGACAUUCACAGGUGCUGCAUGGCUGUCGUCAGCUCGUGUCGUGAGAUGUUGGGUUAAGUCCCGCAACGAGCGCAACCCCUAUGUCCUGUUGCCACAGGAGACUCGUUCUCCUAGCACUCUGGACAGACUGCCCCAUUUGAAUGGGGAGGAAGGUGGGGAUGACGUCAAGUCAGUAUGGCCCUUACGCCCAGGGCUGCACACGUGCUACAAUGCCCGGUACAAUGGGAAGCUAGAUCGCGAGAUGGAGCAAAUCCCUAAAGCCGGGCCCAGUUCGGAUUGGAGUCUGCAACUCGACUCCAUGAAGUCGGAAUCGCUAGUAACGGCGUAUCAGCUACGACGCCGUGAAUACGUUCCCAGGCCUUGUACACACCGCCCGUCACAUCAUGAAAGCCGGGGGCACCCGAAGCCUGCGAUUACGUGGUCUAAGGUGAACUUGGUGAUUGGGAUGAAGUCGUAACAAGGUAACC
This 1470-nucleotide ribosomal RNA is filed under the name uncultured bacterium. RNAcentral describes it as "bacterial SSU rRNA". It matches the Rfam family "Bacterial small subunit ribosomal RNA". The record is from RNAcentral.